RNAcentral lists this ribosomal RNA (403 nucleotides) under bacterium. RNAcentral describes it as "partial 16S ribosomal RNA". It matches the Rfam family "Bacterial small subunit ribosomal RNA", at positions 355 to 776 of the family's 1533-position model. The record is from RNAcentral.
UGGGGAAUAUUGCACAAUGGGGGAAACCCUGAUGCAGCGACGCCGCGUGAACGAAGAAGGUAUUCGUAUCGUAAAGUUCUGUCCUAUGGGAAGAUAAUGACAGUACCAUAGAAGAAAGCUCCGGCUAAAUACGUGCCAGCAGCCGCGGUAAUACGUAUGGAGCGAGCGUUGUCCGGAAUUAUUGGGCGUAAAGGGUACGCAGGCGGUUUAAUAAGUCGAAUGUUAAAGAUCGGGGCUCAACCCCGCAAAGCAUUGGAAACUGAUAAACUUGAGUAGUGGAGAGGAAAGUGGAAUUCCUAGUGUAGUGGUGAAAUACGUAGAUAUUAGGAAGAAUGCCAGUAGCGAAGGCGACUUUCUGGACACAAACUGACGCUGAGGUACGAAAGCGUGGGGAGCAAACAGG